AAAGAAAUUCUCUGAAAAGUCACAACACAACCAGUGUUGGCAGAAUUUACUGUUCCUCUGUGGAUCUAGUGAUUUUAUAACAUUUUCAUGGAGACCUGAGGGGAAACUUCCAGCACUUCCAAUCGUCUUACACACAAAAUGUCUGCCGCCUCCCCUGACUGACAGUGGUUUGGAAGCCAACAAAACAACUGUGUUUUCACAGUGGGUGAAAACAAGCAGAGAGAACAACAACAGAGAAAAACAACAGGAGAACAAGGGAGGAGGCAGCCACAGGAAACCAGCAGAUAUUUACUGACCCACUGAGUACGUGUAUCAAAUGGAACCUGAAUGUUGACUGAGGAGAAAGAUGGGACCAGCAGGAAGAAGAGCAAGGAAGCGGGUUCCCAAAGUGUUGCGAUCCGUUGCCUCUGACAGUCCCGUGCUUGAAGGAAACCAGAACACAGUGCGAAACAUGGAUAAACUAUCUAUUUCUGAACUGUUCGAGGUCAUCAAACAAAACCAAAAAGCGUCUCACAAAAUUUCCAUCUGGAAGCAAGAAUUGGCUGAGCUGGAUGCACAAACCCUGUCAAGCCUUCCCUUAAGUCUCGCCAGGAUAUUAACUUUGAAAUAAAGCCUAGUUUUUCUGA
Long non-coding RNA from Pipra filicauda (Wire-tailed manakin), 626 nucleotides. RefSeq lists it as uncharacterized. Lineage: Eukaryota; Metazoa; Chordata; Aves; Passeriformes; Pipridae. The record is from RefSeq and is a predicted model, not a curated record. The transcript has 3 exons.